AGCAGCCGCGGUAAUUCCAGCUCCAAUAGCGUAUAUUAAAGUUGUUGCAGUUAAAAAGCUCGUAGUUGAAUUUCGGGAUUGGCGCAUCGGUCGUGCCUCACGGGGUAUGAACUGGUGCAGUCAAUUUCUCACCUUCUGGAGAACCGCGAUGUCCUUAAUUGGAUGCCGUGGGGAACCAGGACCUUUACUUUGAAAAGAUUAGAGUGUUUAAAGCAGGCAUUUUUGCUUGAAUACAUUAGCAUGGAAUAAUAAAAUAGGACGGCAUGGUUCUAUUUUGUUGGUUUCUAGGACCACCGUAAUGAUUAAUAGGGAUAGUUGGGGGCAUUAGUAUUCAAUUGUCAGAGGUGAAAUUCUUGGAUUUAUUGAAGACUAACUACUGCGAAAGCAUUUGCCAAGGAUGUUUUCAUUAAUCAAGAACGAAAGUUAGGGGAUCGAAGACGAUCAGAUACCGUCGUAGUCUUAACCAUAAACUAUGCCGACUA
Molecule: unclassified non-coding RNA, 482 nt
Filed under: uncultured Diversispora
Lineage: Eukaryota; Fungi; Glomeromycota; Glomeromycetes; Diversisporales; Diversisporaceae
Description: SSU rRNA
Rfam family: Eukaryotic small subunit ribosomal RNA
Source: RNAcentral